UUUUUUUCUAUUUGUAGGGAUUGCCGACAUCGUCCCUAACGUUGUCACUGGAAGUUACAUUCCCGAUGUUGGGAAAUAUUGGCAACAAAGGUGAGAAACUUUAGCAAAUUAGACGAAAAUAAAUGAGAGAGAGACAGAUGGAUGGGCGGUGGGUUGUUGGCAACAACAAUGGGUUGUGGGCAGGAAGAGAAAGGGAGAAGGGAGAUGGGAAGGGAGAGCAGUGGGAGGUG
This is a long non-coding RNA of Juglans microcarpa x Juglans regia, 230 nucleotides long. RefSeq lists it as uncharacterized. Lineage: Eukaryota; Viridiplantae; Streptophyta; Magnoliopsida; Fagales; Juglandaceae. The transcript is spliced from 2 exons. The record is from RefSeq and is a predicted model, not a curated record.